AUUUCCACAAAUGCACAAGCCCCAAUCAUAAAUGAAAACACGGGAGAACAAACAGCUUCUGUUGUGGCUCUUAAAUGUGGCAUUCACCACAGCCAAAAUACCACAUGUAACAGCCUUCAUCAGAGACCUCAAAGUAACCAGCACCAAAAAAAGAAGAAAGAUUUGUGUGAAUUAGCUACAGGAAAAAACACCAAAUCCCAUAAGGUCCGUUUCCAAGGUCCAUUGCAGUUUUCCAGAAAUACUGAACAGAAAUGUAACUGUGUAAACUUGAAUAGUUGUAACAUAACAAGUGACUAUGGAAUUCAAACCAUUGCUUCAGAAAGUAAAUCUUUAGGGACUGUGACACAUCUUCCAGAGAAGGAAAAUGAAGAACACCUUUCUAGGGUCACACUUGGAGCACCUUCCUUUCUACAUCAAGUUUUCCUGGAAAUGGAGCAAGAUGCAUCACCUACUUCAACUGCAUCUGAGCCUAAAGAUCUGGACAGCAGUUUAGAAAACAAAAGUAUACAACAAUUAUGUAACCAGCAUUUCAUCCUUAAUGAAUCCACAGGAGACACGAAGGUUCAGGAUACUAUCAGCAAUGUACAUACAAGUAACAUUAUUUUAACAGACCCAUGUGAUUGGCAAAUGGCACAUAUCCCACAGAAGGCUCAGUGUUGUUGCACCUGUUCAGAAGAACAAUGCAACUUUAUAUCUGAAACAUCUGAUGAAGAACAAGACAGUUUCUCAGAUUCAUCUGUGACAGUAACAAGUAUUUUAGGUGCAUUAGAAAACCAACAGUCAGAAGAGGAGUUCACUAUAUCAUCUGUAUCUGAUAGCCUGAGUCUUGGAUCAUUAUAUGAUGUGCAUGAACAGAUGGAAGAAAACAUUUGUGUUGACCGAAAAGAGGAGGAAAACUCUGACUCCAGCAUAGGCCAUCUUGAUGAAAGAGUUCUAGAGGAAAUGCAGAAGAUUAGCACCUCGGAGAGGCUCUCUCAGACAAACUCCUUCCAUUUCAGGUAUUAAUAUUUAUUCUACCUGAAAAGAACCAGAAUAGGCUUUUAGUUUCCAUUUCAGGGAUCCACAUCUUUGAGUUGGUAUUAAAUAUUGGGGACCUGGUGAUGCCUUCCUUUUUAUAGCACUGCAGUAGUCUCACCUGAUGGUAAAAUCAUGGAUAACAAUGGGAUGGUUCAAAUUCAUAAGAGAGAAUGUAAGAUCCCUCUUAAGUGCAAGAUAAGAAUGAGUAUUACUUAUUCCGCCCCAAGGCACUUACAAUCUAAAUUGCUAUCUGGACAUCCAGAAACCCCUCAGGAUACAACAAAUUCCCCAACCAAACCAAGACAUGCCAUUAAUCAAAGAUACUGAUAUAAUUUCUGCCAUUUCCUCAGUUUGCUUCUCCCUCCAUAUAGGCACUAUCUCGGUCUUGUCUGGGCUGAAUCUCAGGCCUGGUCUACACUGGGAUGGGGGAGGAGGAGGAAGAAUCAAUCUAAGUUACGCAAUUUCAGCUAUGUGAAUAACAUAGCUGAAGUUGACGUAUUUAGAUCUACUUACCGCAGUGUCUUCACUGCAGCAAGUCGAUGGGAGAGCGCUCGGCGGUCGAUUUAUCGCGUCUAGACUAGACAUGAUAGAUCGACCCCCGCUGGAUUGAUUGCUGCCCAUCAAUCCAGCGGGUAAUGUAGACAAGCCCUAAGUCUGCUCAGCUCAUAUCGAUGCAUCAGUCUCUGUCAGGCAGUACUAUGAUGAAUUAAAUCUGAUGUCACUGAUUUUCAUACAGUUCUACAGAUGAAGAAGGGAGAGCAAAUAUGGAUCAUGCACUUAAGAGUGUCAAUACAAGUCAAGUACUGUAUUUCUGUCAUUUUCCACAUUACGUUAGUACAUAACUAAUCAGAUCAGUAGUAAACUGUUAGAAUAAAAAAUGCUUAAAAUCAACUUAAGAUGCCA
Molecule: long non-coding RNA, 1920 nt
Filed under: Chrysemys picta bellii (western painted turtle)
Lineage: Eukaryota; Metazoa; Chordata; Testudines; Emydidae
Description: lncRNA (ENSCPBG00000010854.1)
Source: RNAcentral